Malania oleifera is the source of this 415-nucleotide long non-coding RNA. RefSeq lists it as uncharacterized. Lineage: Eukaryota; Viridiplantae; Streptophyta; Magnoliopsida; Santalales; Ximeniaceae. The record is from RefSeq and is a predicted model, not a curated record. The transcript is spliced from 2 exons.
GUCUGCAGAGCAACUUGCCAUGCCUUCCUCAAUAAACGCGCCUGCUCCCCUCGCCUCGUUAUGUGACCCCCCAUUCUCUCCUUAGCUCACCCUCCUCCUCUGCAGUAGACCCUCGUCACACUGUUGUGCCAUGGUGCCACCAUCGCUCUCUCUCUCUCUCUGUCUCUCUCUGUAUCUUGUGCCCAUGUACACAUAUACCUACUUGCAAUGUCGAGACAUCGGAGACCCUCACAGGUAGGUCAAAGAGAACUCCAGCAGAGAGAGAGAGAGAGAGAGAGAGAGAGAGAGAUUAGAGCUCACAAUUGAAGAGAAGAUUGUUGAGUUUGCCUCACAUUGGAAAAAUAUAGUGGAGGAUGGGUAUUUAUGUACAUGGUUGAUUCCAAGACUCAAUGACUAAUUAAGCUUUUGGGUCAAA